GACGAACGCUGGCGGCGUGCUUAACACAUGCAAGUCGAACGGAAAGGCCCCUUUGGGGGUACUCGAGUGGCGAACGGGGGAGUAACACGUGAGUAACCUGCCCUUGACUUCGGGAUAACUUCAGGAAACUGGGGCUAAUACCGGAUAGGAAUCCUUGCUGCAUGGUGGGGGUUGGAAAGUUUCGGCGGUUUUGGAUGGACGCGCGGCGUAUCAGCUUGUUGGUGGGGUAGUGGCUUACCAAGGCUUUGACGGGUAGCCGGCCUGAGAGGGCGACCGGCCACAUUGGGACUGGGACACGGCCCAGACUCCUACGGGAGGCAGAGGUGGGGAAUAUUGCACAAUGGGCGGGAGCCUGAUGCAGCAACGCCGCGUGCGGGAUGACGGCCUUCGGGUUGUAGACCGCUUUCAGCAGGGGCGAAGCUUGUGGUGACGGUACCUGCAGAAGAAGCACCGGCUAACUCCGUG
This 465-nucleotide ribosomal RNA is filed under the name uncultured bacterium. Its description in RNAcentral is "partial 16S ribosomal RNA". It matches the Rfam family "Bacterial small subunit ribosomal RNA", at positions 28 to 507 of the family's 1533-position model. The record is from RNAcentral.